Molecule: ribosomal RNA, 982 nt
Filed under: Mucor stercorarius
Lineage: Eukaryota; Fungi; Mucoromycota; Mucoromycetes; Mucorales; Mucoraceae
Description: eukaryotic LSU rRNA
Rfam family: Eukaryotic large subunit ribosomal RNA
Source: RNAcentral
UUUCCCUAGUAACGGCGAGUGCAGAGGAAAGAGCUCAAAGUUGGAACCUGUUUGGCUUAGCUAAACCGGAUUGUAAACUGUAGAAGCGUUUUCCAGGCGCACCAAGCAAAUAAGUCCUUUGGAACAGGGCAUCAUAGAGGGUGAGAAUCCCGUCUUUGGCUUGAGUUGUCGUCUAUUGUGAUACGUUUUCAAAGAGUCAGGUUGUUUGGGAAUGCAGCCUAAAUUGGGUGGUAAAUCUCACCUAAAGCUAAAUAUUUGCGAGAGACCGAUAGCGAACAAGUACCGUGAGGGAAAGAUGAAAAGAACUUUGAAAAGAGAGUUAAACAGUAUGUGAAAUUGUUAAAAGGGAACCGUUUGGUGCCAGACUGGCUUGAUUGUAAUCAACCUGGGCUUCGGCUCGGGUGCACUUGCAGUCUAUGCCUGCCAACAACAGUUUGGUUUGGAGGAAAAAAUUAUAAGGAAUGUGGCCCCUCCUGGGGUGUUAUAGCCUUAUUUCAUACUCUGGACUGGACUGAGGAUCGCAGUGAAUGCCUUUAGGCAAGAUUGCUGGGUGCUUUCGCUGAUAAAUGCUAGAAUUUCUGCUUCGGGUGGUGCUAGUGUUUAAAGGAGGAACUCGCUUGGUAUAUUUUUUAUUCGCUUAGGUUGUUGGCUUAAUGACACUAAAUGACCCGUCUUGAAACACGGACCAAGGAGUCCACCAUAAGUGCAAGUAUUUGGGUGACAAACCCAUAUGCGUAAGGAAACUGAUUGAUACGAAACCUUUUGGGUGGCAGUAUCACCCGGCGCUGACGUUUUAUACUGAAUUGACCGAGGUAAAGCACUUAUGAUGGGACCCGAAAGAUGGUGAACUAUGCCUGAAUAGGGUGAAGCCAGAGGAAACUCUGGUGGAGGCUCGUAGCGAUUCUGACGUGCAAAUCGAUCGUCAAAUUUGGGUAUAGGGGCGAAAGACUAAUCGAACCAUCUAGUAGCUGGUUCCUGCCGA